UUGGUCAAUUGCUGCAAAAAUGUAGAGGAAAGUCCGCGCUAGCACCAUCUGCGAUGAUGGUAGUGUUCAUGUUAGAUCCAAUAAAUCUAAGCCUAGACGACAAGUGCCACAGAGACGAGCUUAUUAAGUUAAGGUGAAACGCGGUAAACUCCAUGAGCUAGAAACCCAAAUUUUGGUAGGGGAAUUCACGUUAGAGAAAUGAAUCGAGCGCGAGAGGGAAACCUAGAUAAAUAAUUGACACUUUUUAGAAAGAACAGAACGCGGCUUAUAG
This 271-nucleotide RNase P RNA is filed under the name fish gut metagenome. Its description in RNAcentral is "Bacterial RNase P class B". It matches the Rfam family "Bacterial RNase P class B". Rfam says of the family: Ribonuclease P (RNase P) is a ubiquitous endoribonuclease, found in archaea, bacteria and eukarya as well as chloroplasts and mitochondria. Its best characterised activity is the generation of mature 5'-ends of tRNAs by cleaving the 5'-leader elements of precursor-tRNAs. The record is from RNAcentral.